RNAcentral lists this unclassified non-coding RNA (418 nucleotides) under soil metagenome. RNAcentral describes it as "partial contains 5.8S ribosomal RNA, internal transcribed spacer 2, and large subunit ribosomal RNA". The stretch from base 1 to 120 matches the Rfam family "5.8S ribosomal RNA", at positions 35 to 154 of the family's 154-position model. The record is from RNAcentral.
GAUGAAGAACGUAGCGAAAUGCGAUAAGUAAUGUGAAUUGCAGAAUUCAGUGAAUCAUCGAAUCUUUGAACGCAUCUUGCGCUCCUUGGUAUUCCUUGGAGCAUGCCUGUUUGAGUAUCAUGAGCAAAUCUCAAAGUCAAUUCCUUUUGUUGAUUCAAUUGGUUUUGCUUUGGACUUGGAGGCCUUGCAGAUUUCACAGUCUGCUCCUCUUAAAUGCAUUAGCUGGAUCUCAGUAAUUAUGCUUGGUUCCACUCGGCGUGAUAAGUAUCACUCGCUGAGGACACUGUUAAAAAGGUGGCCAGGAAAAUACUGAUUGAACCGCUUCUAACGGUCUAUUAAGUUAGACAAUUACCCUUAAGUUUGAUCUCAAAUCAGGUAGGACUACCCGCUGAACUUAAGCAUACCAAUAAGCGGAGGA